This 460-nucleotide ribosomal RNA is filed under the name uncultured bacterium. RNAcentral's name for it is "partial 16S ribosomal RNA". It matches the Rfam family "Bacterial small subunit ribosomal RNA", at positions 338 to 795 of the family's 1533-position model. The record is from RNAcentral.
CCUACGGGAGGCAGCAGUGAGGAAUAUUGGUCAAUGGACGAGAGUCUGACCCAGCCAAGUCGCGUGAAGGAUGACUGCCCUAUGGGUUGUAAACUUCUUUUAUAAAGGAAUAAAACGAGCCACGUGUGCCUUUUUGCAUGUACUUUAUGACUAAGGAUCGGCUAACUCCGUGCCAGCAGCCGCGGUAAUACGGAGGAUCCGAGCGUUAUCCGGAUUUAUUGGGUUUAAAGGGAGCGUAGAUGGGUUGUUAAGUCAGUUGUGAAAGUUUGCGGCUCAACCGUAAAAUUGCAAUUGAUACUGGCAGUCUUGAGUACAGUUGAGGUAGGCGGAAUUCGUGGUGUAGCGGUGAAAUGCUUAGAUAUCACGAAGAACCCUGAUGGCGAAGGCAGCUUACUAAACUAUGACUGACAUUGAUGCUCGAAAGUGUGGGUAUCAAACAGGAUUAGAUACCCGAGUAGUC